CCUGCCCAUAAGAGGGGGGAUAACGAUCCGGAAACGGGUGCUAAUACGCAUAGUUUCUUGAUCGCAUGAUCGGGAAAGGAAAGACGGCCUUUCGUGCUGUCGCUUAUGGAUGGACCCGCGGCGUAUUAGUUAGUUGGUGAGGUAACGGCUCACCAAGACGAUGAUACGUAGCCGACCUGAGAGGGUGAUCGGCCACAUUGGGACUGAGACACGGCCCAAACUCCUACGGGAGGCAGCAGUAGGGAAUCUUCCGCAAUGGACGAAAGUCUGACGGAGCAACGCCGCGUGAGUGAAGAAAGGUUUUCGGAUCGUAAAACUCUGUUGUCAGAGAAGAACAAGUUGGAGAGUAACUGCUCCAGCCUUGACGGUAUCUGACCAGAAAGCCACGGCUAACUACGUGCCAGCAGCCGC
Molecule: ribosomal RNA, 411 nt
Filed under: uncultured bacterium
Lineage: Bacteria
Description: bacterial SSU rRNA
Rfam family: Bacterial small subunit ribosomal RNA
Source: RNAcentral